This is a ribosomal RNA of Mesocricetus auratus (golden hamster), 107 nucleotides long. The record is from Ensembl. Lineage: Eukaryota; Metazoa; Chordata; Mammalia; Rodentia; Cricetidae.
AUCUACAGUUGUAACACCCUGAACCAGCCUGCUUGGAAGCUAAACAGGGUUGGGCCUGGUUAGUACUCAGAUAAGAGACUGCCUCGGAUUACCAGGUGCUGUAGGCU